This 490-nucleotide ribosomal RNA is filed under the name Amblyodipsas unicolor. Its description in RNAcentral is "partial 16S ribosomal RNA". It matches the Rfam family "Bacterial large subunit ribosomal RNA", at positions 1844 to 2622 of the family's 2925-position model. The record is from RNAcentral. Lineage: Eukaryota; Metazoa; Chordata; Lepidosauria; Squamata; Lamprophiidae.
UAUUAAAGGCACGCCUGCCCAGUGAACAAUUAAACGGCCGCGGUACCCUAACCGUGCAAAGGUAGCGUAAUCACUUGUCUAUUAAUUGUAGACCCGUAUGAAAGGCAAAAUGAGGGCCUAACUGUCUCUUAUAAUAAAUCAAUUAAACUGAUCUCCCAGUACAAAAGCUGGAAUACCAACAUAAGACCAGAAGACCCUGUGAAGCUUAAACUAAACUAUUAAAACACAUAAUAAUUACUUUCGGUUGGGGCGACCUUGGAAAAAAAAARAACUUCCAAUAGGCCGACAAGCCAAACACCAGACCCAGCACAGCUGACAAUUGAACCAAGUUACUCCAGGGAUAACAGCGCUAUCUUCCUCAAGAGCCCAUAUCAAAAGGAAGGUUUACRACCUCGAUGUUGGAUCAGGACAUCCUAAUGGUGCAGCCGCUAUUAAGGGUUCGUUUGUUCAACGAUUAAUAGUCCYACGUGAUCUGAGUUCARACCGGAGA